UUGCUGGUGGGAGGGGAUCGGGGCCGCAGAGACCAGGGGGAAGCGACUGUUUACUAAAAACACAGGUCCGUGCGAAGUCGCAAGACGAUGUAUACGGACUGACUCCUGCCCGGUGCUGGAAGGUUAAGAGGACCGGUUAGCCGUAAGGCGAAGCUGAGAAUUUAAGCCCCAGUAAACGGCGGUGGUAACUAUAACCAUCCUAAGGUAGCGAAAUUCCUUGUCGGGUAAGUUCCGACCUGCACGAAUGGAGUAACGACUUCCCCGCUGUCUCAACCAUAAACUCGGCGAAAUUGCAGUACGAGUAAAGAUGCUCGUUACGCGCAGCAGGACGGAAAGACCCCGAGACCUUUACUAUAGUUUGGUAUUGGUGUUCGGAGUGGCUUGUGUAGGAUAGGUGGGAGACGUUGAAGCCCGGACGCCAGUUCGGGUGGAGUCAUCGUUGAAAUACCACUCUGGUCACUUUGGACAUCUAACUUCGGCCCGUAAUCCGGGUCAGGGACAGUGCCUGAUGGGUAGUUUAACUGGGGCGGUUGCCUCCUAAAAAGUAACGGAGGCGCCCAAAGGUUCCCUCAGCCUGGUUGGCAAUCAGGUGUCGAGUGUAAGUGCACAAGGGAGCUUGACUGUGAGAGAGACAUCUCGAGCAGGGACGAAAGUCGGGACUAGUGAUCCGGCGGUACAUUGUGGAAUGGCCGUCGCUCAACGGAUAAAAGGUACCUCGGGGAUAACAGGCUGAUCUUGCCCAAGAGUCCAUAUCGACGGCAUGGUUUGGCACCUCGAUGUCGGCUCGUCGCAUCCUGGGGCUGGAGUAGGUCCCAAGGGUUGGGCUGUUCGCCCAUUAAAGCGGUACGCGAGCUGGGUUUAGAACGUCGUGAGACAGUUCGGUCCCUAUCCGCUGCGCGCGCAGGAAAUUUGAGAAGGGCUGUCCUUAGUACGAGAGGACCGGGACGGACGAACCUCUGGUGUGUCAGUUGUACUGCCAAGUGCACCGCUGAUUAGCUACGUUCGGAUGGGAUAACCGCUGAAAGCAUCUAAGCGGGAAGCUCGCUUCAAGAUGAGAUUUCCAUACAC
RNAcentral lists this ribosomal RNA (1068 nucleotides) under Arthrobacter oryzae. Its description in RNAcentral is "partial 23S ribosomal RNA". It matches the Rfam family "Bacterial large subunit ribosomal RNA", at positions 1756 to 2820 of the family's 2925-position model. The record is from RNAcentral. Lineage: Bacteria; Bacillati; Actinomycetota; Actinomycetes; Micrococcales; Micrococcaceae.